This 440-nucleotide ribosomal RNA is filed under the name uncultured bacterium. RNAcentral's name for it is "partial 16S ribosomal RNA". It matches the Rfam family "Bacterial small subunit ribosomal RNA", at positions 338 to 795 of the family's 1533-position model. The record is from RNAcentral.
CCUACGGGAGGCAGCAGUAGGGAAUAUUGCUCAAUGGGGGAAACCCUGAAGCAGCAACGCCGCGUGGAGGAUGAAGGUUUUCGGAUUGUAAACUCCUUUUGUUAGAGGAGAUAAUGACGGUAUCUAACGAAUAAGCACCGGCUAACUCCGAGCCAGCAGCCGCGGGAAUACGGAGGGUGCAAGCGUUACUCGGAAUCACUGGGCGUAAAGAGCGCGUAGGCGGGAUAGCAAGUCAGAGGUGAAAUCCUAUGGCUUAACCAUAGAACUGCAUUUGAAACUGUUAUUCUAGAGUAUGGGAGAGGUAGGUGGAAUUCUUGGUGUAGGGGUAAAAUCCGUAGAGAUCAAGAGGAAUACUCAUUGCGAAGGCGACCUGCUAGAACAUAACUGACGCUGAUGCGCGAAAGCGUGGGGAGCAAACAGGAUUAGAUACCCGUGUAGUC